UACGUAGGGCGCAAGCGUUGUCCGGAAUUAUUGGGCGUAAAGAGCUCGUAGGUGGCGUGUCGCGUCUGCCGUGAAAGCCCAUGGCUUAACUGUGGGUCUGCGGUGGAUACGGGCAGGCUGGAGGCUGGUAGGGGCAAGCGGAAUUCCUGGUGCAGCGGUGAAAUGCGCAGAUAUCAGGAGGAACACCGGUGGCGAAGGCGGGUCUCUGGGACGGUACUGACGCUAGACGCGAAGCGUGG
RNAcentral lists this ribosomal RNA (239 nucleotides) under uncultured bacterium. Its description in RNAcentral is "partial 16S ribosomal RNA". It matches the Rfam family "Bacterial small subunit ribosomal RNA", at positions 524 to 764 of the family's 1533-position model. The record is from RNAcentral.